Molecule: ribosomal RNA, 1364 nt
Filed under: uncultured bacterium
Lineage: Bacteria
Description: bacterial SSU rRNA
Rfam family: Bacterial small subunit ribosomal RNA
Source: RNAcentral
GAUGAACGCUAGCUACAGGCUUAACACAUGCAAGUCAAGGGGCAACAUGGUCUUAGCUUGCUAAGGCCGAUGGCGACCGGCGCACGGGAGAGUAACACGUAUCCAACCUGCCGUCUACUCUUGGACAGCCUUCUGAAAGGGAGAUUAAUACAAGAUGGCAUCAUGACUUCACAUGUUCACAUGAUUAAAGGUAUUCCGGUAGACAAUGGGGAUGCGUUCCAUUAGAUAGUAGGCGGGGUAACGGCCCACCUACUCUUCGAUGGAUAGGGGUUCUGAGAGGAAGGUCCCCCACAUUGGAACUGAGACACGGUCCAAACUCCUACGGGAGGCAGCAGUGAGGAAUAUUGGUCAAUGGGCGAGAGCCUGAACCAGCCAAGUAGCGUGAAGGAUGACUGCCCUAUGGGUUGUAAACUUCUUUUAUAAAGGAAUAAAGUCGGGUAUGCAUACCCGUUUGCAUGUACUUUAUGAAUAAGGAUCGGCUAACUCCGUGCCAGCAGCCGCGGUAAUACGGAGGAUCCGAGCGUUAUCCGGAUUUAUUGGGUUUAAAGGGAGCGUAGAUGGAUGUUUAAGUCAGUUGUGAAAGUUUGCGGCUCAACCGUAAAAUUGCAGUUGAUACUGGAUAUCUUGAGUGCAGUUGAGGCAGGCGGAAUUCGUGGUGUAGCGGUGAAAUGCUUAGAUAUCACGAAGAACUCCGAUUGCGAAGGCAGCCUGCUAAGCUGCAACUGACAUUGAGGCUCGAAAGUGUGGGUAUCAAACAGGAUUAGAUACCCUGGUAGUCCACACGGUAAACGAUGAAUACUCGCUGUUUGCGAUUUACAGCAAGCGGCCAAGCGAAAGCGUUAAGUAUUCCACCUGGGGAGUACGCCGGCAACGGUGAAACUCAAAGGAAGUGACGGGGGCCCGCACAAGCGGAGGAACAUGUGGUUUAAUUCGAUGAUACGCGAGGAACCUUACCCGGGCUUAAAUUGCAGAUGAAUUACGGUGAAAGCCGUAAGCCGCAAGGCAUCUGUGAAGGUGCUGCAUGGUAGUCGUCAGCUCGUGCCGUGAGGAGUCGGCUUAAGUGCCAUAACGAGCGCAACCCCUGUUGUCAGUUACUAACAGGUUCCGCUGAGGACUCUGACAAGACUGCCAUCGUAAGAUGUGAGGAAGGAGGGGAUGACGUCAAAUCAGCACGGCCCUUACGUCCGGGGGUACACACGUGUUACAAUGGGGGGUACAGAGGGCCGCUACCACGCGAGGGGAUGCCAAUCCCAAAAACCUCUCUCAGUUCGGACUGGAGUCUGCAACCCGACUCCACGAAGCUGGAUUCGCUAGUAAUCGCGCAUCAGCCACGGCGCGGUGAAUAAAAGGCCGGGCCGUGCACU